RNAcentral lists this ribosomal RNA (253 nucleotides) under uncultured bacterium. Its description in RNAcentral is "partial 16S ribosomal RNA". It matches the Rfam family "Bacterial small subunit ribosomal RNA", at positions 524 to 776 of the family's 1533-position model. The record is from RNAcentral.
GACAGAGGGUGCGACCGUUGUUCGGAAUUACUGGGCGUAAAGCGCGUGUAGGCGGCAACGCAAGUCGGGCGUGAAAUCCCACGGCUCAACCGUGGAAGUGCAUUCGAAACUGCAAGGCUAGAGUCCUGGAGAGGAAGGUGGAAUGCUUGGUGUAGAGGUGAAAUUCGUAGAUAUCAAGCGGAACACCGGUGGCGAAGGCGGCCUUCUGGACAGUGACUGACGCUGAGACGCGAAAGCGUGGGGAGCAAACAGG